Long non-coding RNA from Uloborus diversus, 937 nucleotides. RefSeq lists it as uncharacterized. NCBI's taxonomy places the organism in Eukaryota, Metazoa, Arthropoda, Arachnida, Araneae, Uloboridae. The record is from RefSeq and is a predicted model, not a curated record. The transcript is spliced from 4 exons.
UGUUGACUUAUCAGUCUGGAAUGGGGAAUAACCGAGUUAAAGAUAGAUGUCAUCUCAUUGAAGCUGAGACUCCCGACAGCUGGUAGAUAAACUAAAGUUAUCUUACCAGCGAGUACCCGCAGAGAUGGUGCAGUUCAACUUACAUAUUGAAGGCAAAGUUAACAAGUUAUUAAACAUUUAUUGGCAUUCUCAGCUUCAAUGAGAUGACAUCUGCUUCCAGCUCAGUUAUUCUCUACUCCAGACUGAUGAGCCCACAAUAGCGACAAAACUGCAGUCUCAGGAUGAGAUAAUUGGGCCACUGGUUAAUCCUCAGCCCCCCUCCUCCAGUGGAAUAUAAAGAGGGUAAAGAAUGAAUGCUUUCAUAGCUGAGUAGUGAAAUGUCAAAAAGAAAGGGGUGGAAGAGCUGAUAAGAUCAUGUUAAACAUUUUUGUAGAUGUGGACAAUUCUCCAGGGAGACUGCAUGCUGCAGGGGGCGGAUUAAACAGAAAAAGUGAUGAGAAAGCUUUACUGGAUUACAAAGAAAUAAGACUUGGGAGAGGGAGAAGUCAAAGUCAAGACAGUAGAACUCUGACAACCAAAUCCUAACUUCGAUGAAGUUGAAGGAAAAUUAUUGUGUACACACACAAUAUUUUUUCAAUAUAUGCACAACUUUGAUUACAACUUAAAUUUCCUGCAUGAACAAUAUUGUAUUUGGAGUGCCUUAGUGUAGUUAGAAGCAUCUCUGAAGUUACUCGCCAAAUUAUCUGCAUUUUUACCAGGGUUGGGUUUUGGACUGUCCAAAACUGGUUUAGGACUGGACAGGUGGUUUUUACCAUCCAAAACUGUCUUAAACUGUAUAAAACUAUGCUAAAGCUAAAUGAAUGUAAUCUAAUACAUUCAUAUUUACUGCAAUAUUCGUAAUGUGCAUAAAUAUAGAUAUUAAUGACUUUUAGUUUAA